AAUUUUUGACAAUGGGGGAAACCCUGAUCCAGCCAUCCCGCGUGUAUGAUGAAGGCCCNCGGGUUNUNAAGUACUUUUGGCAGAGNGGAAAAGGUAUCUCCUAAUACGAGAUACUGCUGACGGUAUCUGCAGAAUAAGUACCGGCUAACUACGUGCACGCAGCCGCGGUAAUACGUAGGGUGCAAGCGUUAAUCGGAAUUACUGGGCGUAAAGGUGGGCUGGGGGGUUCGGAAAGAAAGGUGGGAAAUCCCAGGGCUCAACCUUGGAACUGCAUUUUUAACUGCCGAGCUAGAGUAUGUCAGAGGGGGGUAGAAUUCCACGUGUAGCAGUGGAAUGCGUAGAUAUGUGGAGGAAUACCGAUGGCGAAGGCAGCCCCCUGGGAUAAUACUGACGCUCAGACACGAAAGCGUGGGGAGCAAACA
This 422-nucleotide ribosomal RNA is filed under the name uncultured bacterium. RNAcentral's name for it is "partial 16S ribosomal RNA". It matches the Rfam family "Bacterial small subunit ribosomal RNA", at positions 360 to 774 of the family's 1533-position model. The record is from RNAcentral.